CCUACGGGAGGCAGCAGUAGGGAAUAUUGCUCAAUGGUGGUAACACUGAAGCAGCAACGCCGCGUGGAGGAUGACGGUUUUCUGAGUUUAAACUCCUUUUUUUAGAGAAGUUAAUUACGUUAUGUAACGUGUAAUCACCGUCUCACUCCGUGCCAGCAGCCGCGGUAAUACGGAGGGUGCAAGCGUUACUCGGAAUCACUGGGCGUAAAGAGAGCGUAGGCGGCAUAGCAAGUCAGCCGUGAAAUCCUAUGGCUUAACCAUAGAACUGCAUUUGAAACUGUUAUUCUAGAGUACGCGAGAGGUAGGUGGAAUUCGUGGUGUAGGGGUAAAAUCCGUAGAGAUCAAGAGGAAUACUCAUUGCGAAGGCGACCUGCGAGAACACUACUGACGCUGAUGCGCGAAAGCGUGGGUAGCAAACAGGAUUAGAUACCCGUGUAGUC
RNAcentral lists this ribosomal RNA (440 nucleotides) under uncultured bacterium. RNAcentral describes it as "partial 16S ribosomal RNA". It matches the Rfam family "Bacterial small subunit ribosomal RNA", at positions 338 to 795 of the family's 1533-position model. The record is from RNAcentral.